AUCACAUUCCACAGUACACGAAUCAGAAAAUCACCUUUGAAUUUGAUUGCGUGCUUUGACACAGAUAGAAUCGUAAGCCUAACUCGUUGAUUCUUCACCUUUCUAUUUUGGCCAACUUUCUACAAAACCCUAAUCGUUUUGCCUCCCAAAACGAUGCGUUUGUUUGCCAAAUUCAAUACAAUUCCAUAACCAUGAAGCUCUAGUUUUCAUUUCAAUGGCCUCUUAUCGACUCCUCUCCUGUUAUCAGUAUUAUCAAUAACGACAACAACUGAAGCUUUGGUGAUUCAUAUUCACGCUCCAUGGAAGCUCGUAGAGGUUGGCGUGCCGUUCCCAAGGUUCGCCAGGUCGGAUUCUUCACUCCCAAUGAGCCACCGCCGCCUGCUCGGACUCAGUCUGGGCCGCCUGACUCUAACUCGCCGCCGCUUUCCAAUUCUCCUGCGGGCAACUCCUUAUCUCCAGUUAUGAUCCCCCCGCCACGUCACCUCUCUGAUAACCUUGCUCAUCGCGCCACUUCGCCACUCCCUGUCCCAGAGACAUCGGCCUUCCGCCGACCUAUCCCCGGCGGCGACCGUGUGGCGGUGGUGGGCAGCUACAACCCUACCGAUUCGAUGCUUGGAGCGUCGCCGCCGCUGACCUCGCCUUCAAGUAGGAUCGGCGAUGGAGAAUUUUCGGAGGAAUCGUCUCCUGGUUGGUUUCGCAGGAGCAACUCUGCUAAGUUCGCCUCGAGUUUCCCUGGUGGUGGAUUCGAUUUGACGUCGAUAAAGUCAUCGGAGACUUUGGAAGUUGAAGUGAAAAAGCCUGUUGAAGUACCUGAAAAAAGUGGAGUGGCUGGUGCAGAGCUGCAAACUGAAUCACAAUCAAGUUCAAAGCCAUUGAAAGCUAAAACAACAAAGGCUGAAAGACGUGCCUUGCAGGAAUCCCAACGAGCUGCCAAAGCUGCUGCAAAAGGAGAAGCCACCGGUAAACCUGCUAUCUCAUCUGAGGGAGCAGCGACCAGUAAACCUGUGAAGCAGCAACCAUCACGAAAGAAAGAUGCUCUUCCUGCUGCAACAUCAGUUGCAGCUUCUGACAGGAAAGGAGUAGAUCGUACACCAGAGAAAGAGAGGAAGAAAGAAGUCCCUCCUCCACGCAUGCAAUUUGAUGAUAAAAAUCGAGUGGAAAAGGCUAAAAAGCGUGCAGUGGUCAAUCAAACUGAAGCUAGGAAUAGGGUUGAGUUGUUCCGACACUUGCCUCAGUAUGAGCGUGGAAGCCAGCUUCCUGAUCUUGAGUCAAAAUUUUUCCUACUUGAUCCAAUGCAUCCUGCUGUUUACAAGGUUGGAUUACAGUAUUUGGCGGGAGAUAUCUCUGGAGGUAAUGCUCGUUGUAUUGCAAUGCUACAGGCAUUUCAGGAAGUCAUUAAAGACUACUCCACACCACCAGAAAAAUCUCUUACCAGGGAUUUAACGGCAAAAGUUGGUAGUUAUGUUUCCUUUUUGAUUGAAUGCCGACCACUUUCUAUGAGUAUGGGAAAUGCAAUUAGGUUUUUGAAGAAUCGUAUUGCAAAGCUGCCUUUAAGUCUUUCUGAAUCAGAAGCAAAAGAAUCCCUUUGUUCAGAUAUCAAUCGUUUCAUAAAUGAGAAGAUAGUACUUGCUGACAAGGUGAUAGUUAGACAUGCUGCUUCAAAAGUCAGGGACGGGGAUGUUCUUCUUACGUAUGGAUCAUCAUGUGUUGUUGAGAUGAUUCUGUUAUAUGCCCAUGAGCUUGGGAAACAGUUCAGGGUUGUGAUAGUGGACUCACGCCCUAAACUUGAAGGCCAAGCUUUACUUCGUAGGCUGGUGGCAAAGGGCCUGAAUUGUACAUAUACUCACAUAAAUGCAGUUUCUUAUAUCAUGCAUGAAGUCACUAGAGUAUUUCUUGGGGCUUCCUCAGUAUUGUCCAAUGGAACUGUUUAUUCGAGGGUUGGAACUGCAUGUGUUGCUAUGGUUGCUCAUGCAUUCCGUGUUCCAGUGUUAAUAUGCUGUGAAGCAUAUAAGUUUCAUGAAAGGGUUCAACUGGAUUCAAUAUGCUCCAAUGAACUAGGUGAUCCAGAUGCCAUUGCAAAGGCUUCUGGAAGAAUGGAUGUAAAUUACGUGGAUAAUCUGGCUAAUAAAGAAAAUCUUCAGCUUUUAAAUUUGAUGUAAGCUUCUAUAUGUUCUAUGACAAAAAGAAUAGGAAAAAAAAGAUGGAAAGACAAAUCUAUUUUUAUAAAUGGUGAUGACUUAUAUGGAUGUUAUAUUCUGACAGGUAUGAUGCCACUCCUUUAGAAUAUAUCUCUAUGAUUGUCACCGAUUAUGGCAUGAUCCCACCAACAAGUGUCCCUGUUAUUGUGCGGGAGUAUCGGAGGGAGCACUUGUGGAUAUAGUUUUGCAUGGACAUUAUUAUUGGGCUAGUAAGGGAUUUCAUGUUGAGUUUCAGUUAAGGAACCAAGCUCACAGUUGUGGAAUUGAACACGAGAUGAUAACAAGAUCUAUAAAUUCUACAGCAUUUAGUUGUGAUAUGGGCUUUGCCCAUAUGAUGAUUUUGUGCCUUGUCAAAUUUACUUUGUAUUAUUUGUUUUUCUUAGUAAUUGUGCAGAAAGGUUGCGUUUUGUUGCCUCUCAUGACAGUUUUGAUUUUGGAGGUGGUUAUAUUUGUAACAAAAAUUUCCCCCUUUGCUUUUUUACCCAUCAUCAAUAUUGAAUUUCAACAACCACAUGAAGGAAACACCCUUUAGAGGGGACAACUACCCAGGAAGUCCUUGAAUUUUAUUUGUAGAUGAGUCCUUUCACUUGUCAAAGCAUAUUAAACUAGUCCAUCACUGGAUUAUUCAAUUUGUUUUAUGUGGGUAUUGGAGCUGGUUGGGAUCCACAUUGAUCAACAUAUUGCAUGUAAACGUUAGAUUAGAUUUUACAAUGUUAGGUAUUUCUAAACCUUAAAAAAAAUGUUGUAACCAGCAAUGGAUUGGCU
Molecule: unclassified non-coding RNA, 2963 nt
Filed under: Hevea brasiliensis (rubber tree)
Lineage: Eukaryota; Viridiplantae; Streptophyta; Magnoliopsida; Malpighiales; Euphorbiaceae
Source: RNAcentral